UACGUAGGUGGCAAGCGUUGUCCGGAUUUAUUGGGUUUAAAGGGUGCGUAGGCGGUUCCAUAAGUCAGUGGUGAAAUACGGCAGCUUAACUGUCGAGGUGCCAUUGAUACUGCGGAACUUGAGUACAGACGAGGUAGGCGGAAUUGACGGUGUAGCGGUGAAAUGCUUAGAUAUCGUCAAGAACACCGAUAGCGAAGGCAGCUUACUAGACUGUAACUGACGCUGAGGCACGAAAGUGUGGGGAUCAAACAGG
This 253-nucleotide ribosomal RNA is filed under the name uncultured bacterium. Its description in RNAcentral is "partial 16S ribosomal RNA". It matches the Rfam family "Bacterial small subunit ribosomal RNA", at positions 524 to 776 of the family's 1533-position model. The record is from RNAcentral.